This 35410-nucleotide long non-coding RNA is filed under the name Sorghum bicolor (sorghum). RNAcentral's name for it is "long non-coding RNA (SBIC_LNC013863)". The record is from RNAcentral. Lineage: Eukaryota; Viridiplantae; Streptophyta; Magnoliopsida; Poales; Poaceae.
AUGGAUACAUACCUUUCUUGCUCUUUUGAAACUUUUUGAGGAGAAUGAGAUGCUCUAUAUUUUCUUUUUCUUUUCUCUCAGGUGGGUAUCUUGUACCCCUAAUUCUACUGUCGGACACUUGUCCAUUUUUACCUCUCGUCUCACUUUUUCUUUUCUUUCGAGGUUCCGGGCACUUGCCCAUUUUUAUUUCCUCGUAUCUUCUCUUUUUUUAGAGUACUCACCUCUUUAAAUAAUGUAGCAAGUGGUAGUAACCGAAAUAUCUUGAGCAUUUAUUUCACAGGGGAAAACAGAAAUAGGACAAUGUUUUUGGCUAUUCUCUCCCGGAUUAGGAGUAGAAUAUUUUUGGGUAAAUCUGGAUAUGGAAAUGAGUGGAUGUAUGUGGAUGCGUACUUCCAGAGUAGAAGCAGCAUGUGUGAGUGAACGUGCAAGUGAAUCUUGAUUUAACCACAUGAUAAGCUCCUAAGGGUCUACACAGCUUGACCACACUUAAUGCUCAUAAGCAGUAAAAAGUAAAUGAAUGGUUCAUAGUCUAAUAAGCAUGUAUAUAUGGCUGUGAUACGAAUUUAAACUCUCAUCAUACAGGAACUCAUCAUGUUAUAUUUUAAAGAUUUUCAAAGAUAAAAUUCUCCAGAAUUAUAGCAUCUCUAGGAACAGAUAAACAGCAGCUCAACCUUCCCAUAUCAUAUCCGUUAACAACUUAGACUUUAGAUCAAGUACUCUUCCCACAAGUUCAGGUUUAGAGCAAAUCUUAAUUAAUAAUAGUCAUGUCUAAACUUGAGAGAGAUUUCAAUUUUGAGAACUAGUCAUGGCAGAGCAACUAUUCAUCAUUUCCAUGUGAGAGCUUAUCAUGAGGGUUCAUAACAAACUUUAUUUAUUUAUUUAUUUAGCAAACUAAGCAAAUAUAUAUAUAUAAGCACAAAAUCUUUAUUUGGGUUUUUAUGAUUAUGCAUCUUUUUAUUAUUUGAGUAAAGUAUAAACAUGAGUAGAACACUUAGCUGGAUAAAUGGGGGUGCUCUCCGCCAAGCUGGAUUUUGACGUAAUUUCUUCUGAUGUAGCUAGCAAGUGGCGGAGGUGUAUUUGAAUGUCGACAGCACCAUGACAGCGAUUAGGAUGUCCUUCGUCUGCUAGUCUUCUUUGAUCCUUGAAUUCAGUGGAGCUCAAAUAGACAACAAAGCUUUGUGGAACUGGUUAAGUGUUAGCAUAAAAAUCUCUUUGCCUUUAUCAUGUUAAGCCUCCUCAAUAAAUGUUACUUUCUUUGGUAGGAUCAUAAAUUUAUUUUUAUAUUUUCAUUUUUAUAGGACAGGAAUAUUUUUAUUUUUACGCCACCAAAUGAAUAUACUUAUGGGUUUUAUGCCACGAGCAUACUUAUAUAGGGCUUACUGUUUUUAACAUUUCUAAUUUCUAUUCAAGAUAGCAUAAUUAACUAACAGGCUAUUUAAGGAAAAUAAAUAAUUUAAGAAAAAAGAAAAUGCAUAAAGGAUAAAUAUGGAUAACUACUGAUUUUACCUUCCGGCGAGGGUUCGAUGUUUUAAGUCUUCUUAACAAGACUUCUCACCAUGUUCAUUCUUUAGUUGCGUCAUUUGAUUCAGGUGUGGACCUUGACGUCUGCACCUCUUGAUACGGUGUCACCCAUGUUCUUCGUUUGCCCAGCAGUUCGAAGUGCGGCAUUGGUAGCAUCCUACUCAGUGUGUUUGUGCUCGUAGAUCUAGGUCCUUCACUUGGUGGAAUUUGGGAGUUGUAAAACUCCACCAUGUUUUGCUCCAAGUGUACCUGCUCAUAGAGACAAGGCAAAGAUCAAGUGCAUGGGCCCUGCUGGUGGAAAACGCCAACAUAACCAAAAGUGUAUUUGUUCUUCUCCAACCUUAAGCACAGUGAGCAAGACAAAGUUGAUGGAUGUUGGGUAUUUUAAACGCAAACAAAAAAAUCCGCAAGCGCACGGAUACCGAUGUAGCUUUCACCCAGAAGUAUUCCAGUGUAUCGAUUUUCCACAGAGAACGUGAGUGUACUAAUUAAGAUCCAAGAUCGCCCAAGGAUAACUAUAUAAUUAUUUUUGGUAGGAAGAGAGGAAGUUUCCUGAGAGUUCUCUAGUUGAUCUAAGAAUCAAGAAUUACUUCAAGAUUAUCUAUAUCGGGACAUCAGAGCACUAACCACAGAAAGAGAUGAGAAGGGGGCUAGGAAGGUCUGACUACGGUCCUACAAACACCGAUCCGAACGUGGUGGAAUACGUCGACCGUUAGGGCUGUCACUACCCUAAGGCUACCACAACAAUCCGCAGGAUUGGGUGCAAUUCCAGGUAAUCGCAAGACUAAACAUCACGUCUAAUCUAUUAAUUACUACUCUAGCGUUAUAAAGACUAGAGCACUUGAUGCAAGCGGGAAUCCAAUAAAUAACUUGAAUGUAAAUAAAAGUAAUUAAAGAACUCAGGAAUUGUGAAUUGAAGAACCUGGAGAACGAUGAAGAACGAACCAGUUGCUGCAAAAGUAUAAUGUUGAGGAAGAUCCGACAGAUCCGGCUCCUCCUCCUCUGCUCUCCUCUUCUCUCACCCUAUUUUCUAGAUUACAACUAGAACUAACUAGAACUAGAACUAGAGGAACUAGAACUAGAACUAGAUGAACUAGAACUAGAUCUAGAUGAACUAGAGGUAGAACUAGAAGAACUAGAGGGAUCCUCUCUACUUGGUUGAAGAAUUGAAACCCUAGCUUUGAUUCUGUAGAAGAGGUAUGAUCUCCAGGGGCCAGGGGAGUCUGGUUUUAUAGUCCCUUCAAGUGAAUCUGGGCCGUCGGAUCAAACCGACAUUGAUCGUGUGGUUUUCCUUGAUCCUUUAGGUCGGUGGAGUGUUGUCCCUGAAUUGGACUCUGUUUGGUCCAGGGGGGAGGGCGGGCGCCCAGUAAGGGAGGGCGGGCGCCCAGUGCCCGGCUCCGUUACAUCUCCCGUUCGGUCCCGUGGCUUCUGGAGUCUUCUAGAUGAUAGAAAAUUGCGCGGCACGUUAAUAUCUCUAUGUAAACCCGACGUGUGGGCCUUUUUUCCGUAUUUCCUGAUAACUCCCUGCAGAAAUAGACAAACACCAAAACUUGUGGAAUUCUGUCAGAUAAAACCCUAAGUCUAGGUGUUGGUUGCAUUUGGAUCCUUUUCUAUGAUUAGUUGAUGGUUAAAUGUGAGCAUUAAGGACCGUCAACAAGCUCCCCCAAGCUUAACCUUUGCUCGUCCCUGAGCAAAGAUGAACUCAAGAGCUUCUGCAGUGGUUUCAUAACUUAAAGAUACACAUGCGUUUAAACAAGAUCUCAUCUCUAGGUUAGGGUAAACUGUUAAGAUUUAAAACUUACUCAUUUUACCUUCCACCAUGGGGCUUGCAACCGUCACUUGUGUCUUGAGCAGUUAAAAGAUAGAACGGUCAAGUCAAGCACCAUGUCUCUUGUUCUUUGAUCAACUAUAGCUCUAGAGUUUUUGCAGAUUUUCAAAUAAAACUCAGAGAUUCCUUGUAUGACUCUCUCUAGUCUCUCAUUUGUGGUAUUUCUGGAUCUUUACCAAGGCAGUAAUGGUAUAUGCCUUCUCUCAAAGUAUGUGGUAUUUGUGGUAUAAGGCAUAGUGACAUUGCCUUCUCUCUCACCCUACUCUAAUAAGGCUUUUGAUAUCUGGAGCUCAGAGGUGGGAGACAGCUAAUACAUACUUACAAGACAUUUAUUGCAUAGUCAAACCAUGGAUCCAAAAGAACAAGUCAAUAAGUCAAAUCAAGAUGUGCAUGUGUGGCGAAUGAAUGGUGUAUGGUGAUGAUGGUGAUAAUAAUGGUGAAAGUCUAAUUCUUCUUAUGCUCUUUUGAGGGGAUACAUACCUUUCUUGCACUUUUGAAACUUUUUGAGGAGAAUGAGAUGCUCUAUAUUAUUAUUUUUUUUUCUUUUCUCUCAGGUGGGUAUCUUGUACCCCUAAUUCUACUGUCGGACACUUGUCCAUUUUUACCUCUCGUCUCACUUUUUCUUCUUUUUUUUCUUUCAAGGUUCCGGGCACUUGCCCCUUUUUAUUUCCUCGUAUUCUUCUUUUUCUUCUCUUUUUUUCUUUAGAGCACUCGUCUCAUGAGAUAAUAUAGCAAGUGGUAGUAACAAGAUAACUUGAGCAUUUAUUUCACAGGGAAAAAAUAAAAAUAUUUUUGGCUAUUCUCUCCCGGAUUAGGAGUAGAAUAUUUUUGGGUGGUUCUGGAGAUGGAAAUGGGUAUAUGUGGAUGGUACUUCCAGAGUAGAAGUAGCAUGUAUGAGUGAACGUGCAAGUGAAUCUUGACUUAACCACAUGACAAGCUCCUAAGGGUCUACACAGCUUGACCACACUCAAUGCUCAUAAGCAGUAAAAAGUAAAUGUGUGGCUCAAAGUCUAGCAAGCAUGUAUAUAUGGCUGUGGUAGGAAUUUAAACUCUCAUCAUACAGGAACUCAUCAUGUGAUAUUUUAAAGAUUUUCAAAGAUAAAAUUCUCCAGAAUUCUAGCAUCUCUAGGAACAGAUAAACAACAGCUCAACCUUCCCAUAUCAUAUCCGUUAACGACUUAGACUUCAGAUCAAGUACUCUUCCCACAAGUUCAGGUUUAGAGCAAAUCUUAAUUAAUAACUGUGAUGCCUAAACUUGAGAGAGAUUUCAAUUUUGAGAACUAGUCAUGGCAGAGCAACUAUUCAUCUUUCCAUGUGAGAGCUUAUCAUGAGGGUUCAUAGCAAAUUUUAUUUAUUUAUUUAUUUAGCAAACUAAGCAAAGAUAUAUAUAUAUGCACAAAAUCUUUAUUUCGGUUUUUAUGAUUAUGCAUCUUUUUAUUAUUUGAGUAAAAUAUAAACGUGAGUGGAAUACUUAGCUGGAUAAAUGGAGGUGCUCUCCCCCAAGCUGAAUUUUGACGUAAUUCCUUUUGAUGUAGCAGGUGGCGGAGGUGUAUUUGAAUGUCGGCAGCACCCUGACAUUGAUUAGGAUGUCCUCCGUCUACUAGUCUUCUUUGAUGCUUUAAUUCUGUGGAGCUCAAAUAGACAACAAAGCUUUGUGGAACUAGUUAAGUGUUAGCAUAAAUAUCUAGCCUUUAUCAUGUUGAGCCUCCUCAAUAAAUGUUACUCUCUUUAGUAGGAUCAUAAAUUUAUUUUUAUAUUUUCAUUUUUAUAGGACAGGAAUAUAUAUAUUUAUUUUUACGCCACCAAAGUAAAUGUACUUAUGGGUUUUAUGCCAUGAGCAUACUCACAUGGGGCUUACUAUUUUUAACAUUUUUAUUUUCUUUUCAAGAUAGCUUGAACCUGAUUAACUAAGCAAACUAUUUUAAAUAAUUGAAAGGAAAAAGAUAACUACCAAGUUUACCUUUUGGCAAGGCGUUCGGUGUUUUUACGUCCUCCGAACGGGACUCUCCGUUUUCUUAGUCGUCCUGGAAUUCGCUGGAUGGCGUAGUCGGUGGUUCCGGCGGUGCCUGCUCUUCGUGUAUAACUAUCUUCUCUCUCUACACCUGCCUCGGUGCUACGGUCUCCUCAGGACAGUUCUAUUCAAGUUGUAUAUCUUCAGACCUUACAACUUCUCCUUCAUAGUCUACCCAUCCGUCCUUGAUGAUUUGCCUCCUCUGGUUGCGGUUGCGUCGUCUUCUUCUUGUCCUGACCUGCUUAGAGUCUUUAACUAUAUAGUUAGAGUCAGUAAAAUAGCGGCGUACCUUCUCAGAGGGGAAAUGCAUGUGGACUUCUCUGGUUCCAAUGUAGAUGAUUGCUUUAACGGUGUUGAGGAACAGUCUUCCAAGGAUGACGGGUGGAUUGUACUCGUCUUCUCCCAUGACAAUAACCUUAAAAUCAUCUGGAGCUGAAUGUAUGUUGGUUGUAGGGGCAUGGUUCCAUGCAGGAGUUGAUAAGUGACUGCGGCCAUUAUGUUGAUGUUAGAUCCGGUGUCGUAGAGUGUCUUCUGAAAAGAAUAUCCAUUGAUUGUGCACUCGAUGCUUGGAACACCAGGGUCGUCCUUCUUGAUCAAGAAAGGUGACUUGAGUUGACGAUCUUGACCUCCUUGAGCUGCAGCGACCAUCUUAGCUGACUCGGUACACAUUUGCUUGUUCCUAUUCCUCCUGUUGGUCCUCUUCCUUGGUUCAUGUCGGGAUUGCUCUGAGAUUUGUAUAGUCUUGUUCUUGAAGGAAAACAUCUCCUUCCUUCCCUUCAUGUAGAAACUGAUCUUGGCAGCACUAGCGUAGAUGAUAGCUCCCGAGGUGUUCAGGAAUGGCCUCCCUAGAAUGAUGGGUGCCCUCUCAUCAGUACCAGUCUCUAUCACUACGAAGUCUGCUGGGACGUACAAGGUACCAACUCGGACGUAGAGGUUCUUCAAUAUUCCCCUAGGCAUAAUGUUGACGCUCGAGCCAAAGUUGUAGAGUGCUUCUAGGAAGUCCACCAUGCCGAUGGAGAUCGGGAUGACGGGGCGUCCUGGAUUGUCUCUCUUGACCGGCAGAAGGUCAGUAAUUACUUCCACAACGGGGUUACUCCAGUAGUUACGUCCUCAAGCAUCUCAGGGCAGUGAUUGCCUGAGUAACCAGUAUCUCUAGUGUGUUUGUGCUCGUAGAUCUAGGUUCUUCACUUGGUGGAGUCUGGGAGUUAUAAAAGUCCUUCAUAUUUUGCUCGAAGUAUACCUGCUCAUAGAGACAAGGCAGAGAUCAAGUGCAUGGGCCCUGUUGGUGGAAAACACCAACAGAACCAAAAGUGUAUUUAUUCUUCUCUAACCUUAAGCAUAGUGAGCAAGACAAAGUUGUUGGAUAAUAAGAUCAUGAGUGUAGCAUUUAAAACAUUUGUCAGAUCAGAUCGCUUAACCUAAUGGAAAGAUAAUCAAUCUAUAUUUAUGUUGUUUUUUAUAUAUCUUCCAUAGAUUGAGUGUGCAAUAUUUUAGUUCAUAUGAUUAGGAGUGUGGGAUCACAAAGGUGGAAGGACUAAACAUAUUGAAUCGAUCGGGUUGGUUAAUCUAGAGUAGUAAAUCAUACAUGUUUGUCUCUUUUAUUCAUGUGAACGCCAGAACCAAGGAGAAGCUUAUAGAAGUGAUAGUCAAGUACCUUAAGAUGUUACCUUACUUGAAGAGUGAUGGUACAGUAUCACCUUGUGGAAGCUUUCCUUUCUUCGCGGUUGUGCAUCGUGUUUGUGGCACCCUCCAUGGAUCAUCUCUUGUGAGCUUUGCAUUCCUUGUGUAAAUUGUUAACCUUCAUGUGUCUCUCUAUUUGUCUCCAAUGUGAGUUUAUCUCAAGACUUCCCAGGUCGAUAUUGAAAGUUUUCCUGCAGGGGUUAGUCCAAUAAAAUAUCCAAUAUCUACUAUAGCAUACUAUCGGCUCAAAAAUCAAUCUAGACACCAUGUCUAAUUUGAUUUAGGAGGGAAUUUUAACCUAAGCAUCAUGCUUAAUUUAAAAUCCUUUGGAAGUAAGAGCAUCAUUCCUAAACUAAGCACCAUGCUUAAUUAAGAGAUAAAUGAAACUACUCCAAACCUAGACAUAUACUAAAGCAAAUAAAGGUAGCAUGAGAGCAUUUAUAGAGAUCUACUCAAGUGGAGAUAAAGUAGUGUGAUUAGUAUUUAACAAAUUGAGCAUGUCUCAAAGGUAGGGACAACCAACAUAGCAACAUGGCAAAGGAUGUUUUUAUGUAAAGUAUUCCCCCAAGCUUGAAUUUUGCAAAAUUCAAGUUUGGAUUAAUUUAAUUCAAUGUUGUAUGAUGAUUGGUUGGACAUACCUUGUGCUUGUCAUUCAUCUGAUCUUCUUGUUCCAAUCCUGGAAUGGUUAGUGACAAGAAUACCCGAAGGAAUUUUUCUACAAUUAUCUUUAUAUGCUCAAUACACAAGGCAAUGUUGCAAAUAAUUAAAAGCUCAUGUUACAAUUUGAUCAGUGCUUGUUUUAGGACACUAAGCUUGUCCUUGGGAAACCAUUAAUUUAAGUCGGCGAAGUGGUUUCCCCUCCAACGCUGACCUAUAUCGAGAUCUGCAAUAUUUAAUAUAGACAUAUGCAUCGACAACCGCCCUUUUAAAGUUUUUAUGAAUAGAAAGGAAGAGGGGGUUGGAGAUCUCGAAUGUGGUGAUGUUGGAGAGACCAAUGGAUUGUGAAGAUGUUGCAUAUGAGCAUGGAGUAAAUGAAGUGGCUAUGAAAUAAAUUCCAUGCUCAUUAAUGCUUAGAGUGAAAUCCAUGUGGUAUGGUGAAAGUGAUAAGGUGAGUGUGGUAAAAAAGGAAAAGAAAAAGGAUACACGGAUGACUUGGUUCGAAACUAGCACAGCUACCGUUCCCCGGCAACGGCGCUAGAAAGCUUGUUGGGUAUUUUAAACGCAAACAAAAAAAUCCGCAAGCGCACGGAUACUGAUGUAGCUUUCACCCGGGAGUAUUCCAGAGUAUCGAUUUUUCACAGAGAAUGUGAGUGUACUAAUUAAGAUCCAAGAUCGCCCAACGAUAACUAUAUAAUUAUUUUUGGUGGGAAGAGAGGAAGUUUCCUGAGAGUUCUCUAGUUGAUCUAAGAAUCAAGAAUUACUUCAAGAUUAUCUAUAUCGGGACAUCAGAGCACUAACCACAGAAAGAGAUGAGAAGGGGGCUAGGAAGGUCUGACUACGGUCCUACAAACACCGAUCCGAACGUGGUGGAAUACGUCGACCGUUAGGGCUGUCACUACCCUAAGGCUACCACAACAAUCCGCAGGAUUGGGUGCAAUUCCAGGUAAUCGCAAGACUAAACAUCACGUCUAAUCUAUUAAUUACUACUCUAGCGUUAUAAAGACUAGAGCACUUGAUGCAAGCGGGAAUCCAAUAAAUAACUUGAAUGUAAAUAAAAGUAAUUAAAGAACUCAGGAAUUGUGAAUUGAAGAACCUGGAGAACGAUGAAGAACGAACCAGUUGCUGCAAAAGUAUAAUGUUGAGGAAGAUCCGACAGAUCCGGCUCCUCCUCCUCUGCUCUCCUCUUCUCUCACCCUAUUUUCUAGAUUACAACUAGAACUAACUAGAACUAGAACUAGAGGAACUAGAACUAGAACUAGAUGAACUAGAACUAGAUCUAGAUGAACUAGAGGUAGAACUAGAAGAACUAGAGGGAUCCUCUCUGCUUGGUUGAAGAAUUGAAACCCUAGCUUUGAUUCUGUAGAAGAGGUAUGAUCUCCAGGGGCCAGGGAGGUCUGGUUUUAUAGUCCCUUCAAGUGAAUCUGGGCCGUCGGAUCAAACCGACAUUGAUCGUGUGGUUUUCCUUGAUCCUUUAGGUCGGUGGAGUGUUGUCCCCGAAUUGGACUCUGUUUGGUCCAGGGGGGAGGGCGGGCGCCCAGUAAGGGACGGCGGGCGCCCAGUGCCCGGCUCCGUUACGUCUCCCGUUCGGUCCCGUGGCUUCUGGAGUCUUCUAGAUGAUAGAAAAUUGCGCGGCACGUUAAUAUCUCUAUGUAAACCCGACGUGUGGGCCUUUUUUCCGUAUUUCCUGAUAACUCCCUGCAGAAAUAGACAAACACCAAAACUUGUGGAAUUCUGUCAGAUAAAACCCUAAGUCUAGGUGUUGGUUGCAUUUGGAUCCUUUUCUAUGAUUAGUUGAUGGUUAAAUGUGAGCAUUAAGGACCGUCAACAAUGGAUACUAAGAUCAUGAGUGUAGCAUUUAAAACAAUUGUCAGAUCAAAUCGCUCAACCUAAUGGAAAGAUAAUCUAUCUAUGUAUAUGUUUUUUUAUAUAUCUUUCAAAGAUUGAGUGUACAUCAUUUUAGCUAAUAUGAUUAGGAGUGUAGGAUCACAAAGGUGGAAGGACUAAACAUGUUGAAUCGAUUGGGUUGGUUAACCUAGAGUUGUAAAUCAUACAUGUUUGUCUCUUUUAUUCAUAUGAACGCCAGAACUGAGGAGAAGCUUAUAAAAGUGAUAGUCAAGUACCUUAAGAUGUUACCUUACUUGAAGAGUGAUGGUACAGUAUCACCUUGUGGAAGCUUUCUUUCUUAGCGGUUGUGCAUCGUGUUUGUGGCACCCUCCAUGGGUCAUCUCUCUAUGAUGAAUGAGCUAUGUUCUUUUUGUGCAAAUCGUUACACUUCAUGUGUCUCUCUCUCUUCAUCUUUGAUGUGAGUUUAUCUCAGGACUUCCCAUAUCGAUAUUGAAAGUUUUUUCUGCAGGGGUUAUUCCGACAAAAUAUACCAAUGUCUACACAAGCAGUUUUUAGUUCAAUAACCGAACUAGACUCCAUGUCUAAUCAGAUUAAGGAAGGCUAUUUAACCUAAGCACCAUGCUUAAUUUAAAAGCCAAUAGAAGUAUGUGCAGUACUUCCAAACUAACACUUACUAGGAUAAACAAAGGUAGCGUGAUGACAUUUAUAGAGAUCUACUCAAGUGGAGAUGAAGUAGUGUGAUUAGUAUUUAACAAAUUGAGCAUGUCUCAAAGGUAGAGACAACCAACAUACCAACAUUGCAAAGGAUGUUUUUAUGUAAAGUACUCCCCAAGCUUGAAUUUUGCAAAAUUCAAGUUUGGAUGAAUUUAAUUCAGUGUUGCAUGAUGAUUGGUUGGUCAUACCUUGUGCUUGUCAUUCAUCCGAUCUUCUUGCUCCAAUCCUAGAAAGGUUAGUGACAAGAAUACCCAAAGGAAUAUUUUCACAAUUAUCUUUAUAUGCUCAAUACACAAGGUAAUGUUGUAAAUAAUUAAAAGCUCAUGUUAUGAUCUGAUGAGUGCUUAUUUUAGGACACUAAGCUUGUCCUUGGGAAACCAUCAAUUUAUGUCCGCGAAGUGGUUUCCCUUCCAACGCUGACCUAUAUCAAGAUCAACUCAACGAGAUCUGCAAUAUUUAUUAUAGACAUAUGCAUCAACAACCGCCCUUUUAAAGUUUUUAUAAAUAAAAAGGAAGAGAGGGUUGUAGAUCUCAAAUGUGGUGAUGUUGGAGAGACCAAUAGAUUGGGAAGAUGUUGCAUAUGAGCAUGGAGUAAAUGAAGUGGUUAUGAAAUAAAUUCCAUGCUCAUUAAUGUUAUCUUCAUCUCCAAUCUGAAUGUUCGGGGUUUCUCCUGGAUUGGUCUCACCUAUGUCCUCUUCUCUAGUUGGAUGAAUCUCAUCUUCAAAGGGAGUCAAGAGCUCACCAUUUGAAAUUGAGCCAAAGUCAGAAUCCAUUAAGGCUUCUUCCUUAUCCAUCCAUUCUACACACUCUAGCCAUUUAGAACUUGUGAUCAGGAAAGGGGAGGUGUUAGAAUUUUCUAUAUGGCUUAGCUCUCCUUCUAUGACAUUACUUGACAUGUCAUCCUCAUGGUCUUUAUGACUCCUAUGGUUUGAUCGUCUUGAUAUAUUGUUAGGAUCAUCAUGAGACUUAAAAGGAGAGGGAUAAGAGGGGUCUCUAAGGUCAAGGAUGGAUUUAGAAUUUGUGAACAUGGAAGGGGAGCAGAUAGAAUCUUCUAUAUGGUUUAGCUCUCCUUCACUUGAUAUGUCAUCCUCGACUUCUUCAUAAUAGGAACCAGGACAUUCUCUAAGAUAACCAUCAUUGCAAUGAUUUGAAUUAUCUAUGCUUGAAAGUCUCUUAUGGAACCAAAGUCUAAACCAUCAGUAUCUGAAAGAUUUAAGGUUGGAAUUCCUUCCUCCCUUGGGAGAAUUUUGGGGUAUUGAUGGUUUAGGAUCGAUAGCUAAAGUUUGGGAUUGAAGUGUUUGUGAUCUGGCUAUCGAAACUUCUUCUUCUUGUCUAGGAACUGGUUCUUUCUCUUUCUCAUGGAUAAAAAAGGUAGGAAACUUUUCACUUAAUGAAUCAAUUAAAUCUCUAGCUUCACUAGCAGGCAGGUGAUAGAAGGAUCCUCUAGAGGCCGUAUUCAAGGUUUUCUUAUUUUCCCUACUAAGGCCCUCAAAAAAGUGAAUGAGAAGAACUUCUUCUGGAAUAGAAAGCUUUGGGCCAGUGAGAGUAAGGUUAAUAAAGCGGUCCCAUGAUUUUCCAAGAGAUUCUUCUUCCAGUUGUCUAAAAGAAAUAAUCUCCCGCCGAAGUUCUGCCACUUUGGAGAUUGGAAAAUAUUUAAAAAGAAAACUAUUAUAUAAGUCCUUCCAAUCUCCAUGAACACUCCCUACUUUGAGUUUGUACCAAUGUCUAGCUUUUCCUGUUAAAGAGAACGGAAAGAGCUUCCAUUUAAGGGUCUCAUCAGACAUGCCUUCAAUGUGAAGGAGGUCACAGACUCGAUAAAACUCUCUUAGGUGUGUGUAUGGGUUUUCCUCACCUUCUCCUGAGAAAGGUUGUUUUUGAACAAAUUCUAUGUAUUCGGGGUCUAUCUCAAAACUAGAUGCUAUGAUAGGCUUUGAAGAUUUUGGUGGUUCGAGAUGUGUGCCCGUAGGUCUAUGAAAUUCAUAGAUAGACAUGUUUGCCUUCAUGAUAGACCAGAGAUCAAGGAUUAGAUAAGAAGAAAGAACAGCAGAGAUAAGGCAAAUGAUAAAAGGAAAAAUAUAUUUUUUUUAUUUUUUUAGAAAAUGAUUAAGCUAGUUCGUAGUCAACUCAGCAACCAUUUCCCCGGAAACGGCGCCAAAAAUGCUUGUUGACACUUGCUAACACUACUUGAAUACUAGGUAGUCAUCCGUAGCAUGGCACUAGAGUGUACUAUGGUAUUUAUACGCACACAGAUAAAUCCGCAAGCGCACGGAUACCAUUGUAGCUUUUACCCGGUUAAAGGUUUUAUCGUAUCCACAGGGAAACGGGAGAACUGAUCUAUGCUCUAACUUAACCUAGAUAGAUAGGUAGGUGUAAAUAGGAAAGAUGGUAGAAUUGAGUAAGAACAAUAUUCAAGGUAAGAUAACAAUGGGUGAUAAUAUGGGAAUAGAGAGUAGGGCAAUCUAGUAUAUGCGUGAUGGUAGGAGAACAGAGAGGAUAACUAUGGUUUCUCUACAUCAAAGAGGUAUGUCUAUGUCUAGGACAAACCACAUGGUAAGAAUACACCACAAAGGAUGCUUAUCCAUAGGCCGAUAAACCCUACCAGUCCUACUAACGGGAGGUGGACUACAGGGGACCAACGUAACUGUCACCUACGCGGCCUGCCACACAAUCCGGCUAAACAGGGGAUAUCCACAAGUAAUCUAGGUCUAAGCACCACGCUUACACAUAUACUACAACUCUCACCUAUAGCGUCCUAUAGAUUAAAGUACUCAAAAGAGUUGUCAACCAGAACAUACAUGGAUAGUAAUUGCAUAAUGAAAUAGAAGUAGAUUACCAGAGUCAUCCCACGAGCAAGCUUGAUUAGAGCUUAAUCAUGGCGAAGUAUAACCGGAGGAAGAACCGACAGGCCGGCCUCUCCUCCAAUCCUCCCUCGCUCUCCAUCUCGCUACUAUCUAGAUCUACUCUAGUUUAGAGAAGAGAGGAGAGCUCUCAUCUCCAAACCCUAGCUUUUGUUCUGUCUAUGAAUAAUGAAUAAGGAUGAAGGGGUUGCCUCCGCCAGGGGCUAGGGGGCCUGCUUAUAUAGUCACCUCAAGUGAAUCUGGGCCGUUGGAUCAAACCGACAUUAAUCACACGGUUUUCCUUGAUCCUUUAGGUCAGUGGACCAUAAUCCACGAGAUUGAUCGUGAUUGGCUGAAAAAGUAGGGCGGGCGCCCUGUCCCUGAGCCCACUCGGCUUCCCGUUCGUUCCCGUGGCUUCUGGAGUCUUCUAGAUGAUAGAAAAUUGCGCGGUACGUUAAUAUCUCUAUGUAAACCCGACAUGUGGGCCUUUCCUCCAAAUUUCCUGAUAACCCCCUGCAGAAAUAGAGAAACACCAAAACUCGUGGAAUUCUAUCAGAUAAGACCCUAAGUCUGGGUGUUGGUUGCAUUUGAAUCCUUUUCUUUAUUUAUUUGAUGAUUAAAUUUGGUACUUAAGGACCGUCAACACUCCUACGGCGGGGUCAUAAAGAGAAUCCACAGGUGUCCUGCUUAUGAGACAACGAAUGGUUGUGAAAUAGGAGAGAAGCCUGAUAACAUCAGACGACACUUCUGACUCCUUCAGCCAUUCGCUGCUCAUAACAGUCAUGAGCUCUUGACUAGUUGCUUUGAGGUAACAAGCCUCUAAGCGAGAAGAUACUUGCUCUUUUGGAGUGUUGUGGUUUCUCUUUUGCACAGGUUGUUUCGAGAUGUUGCCAUAAUCGGUGAAAAGAUCCAUCUUGAUGUUAAGAGGAUACUCCAAUGGAUGAAUCACUUCUUCCUUUGGAGGUAUUUGGGAUUGUGGUUUAGGCUCGACAGCUUGUGAUGUGGCUAUUGUAGGGUCAGCUGAUGAGGUUUCAUCCCUAGGGGCUUGGUCUUCCUCAGGGGCAUCACUAUGGUCAUCAGUGUAGGGGGUGUUGUCUAGUAUGGUUGCUAGGACCACCCUACCUUCACUAAUGGGUAAAUGAAGGAAUGCUCCCUUCGAGGCUAGAUCAAGGAAUUGUGUGGAACUUUGCCUAAGACCGAGAUAGAAAUGCUGCAUUAGCGUUGGCUCGGUUAUGGCUAAGUCUGGGCCUGAGGACACUAAGUUUGUGAUUCGUGCCCAAGCCGCACCUAGAGAUUCCUUCUCUUCUUGCUGGAAGUUUACAAUCUCUCUACAGAGACAAGCCACACGAGAAAUGGGGAAGUAGGUAAGGCAAAACUUGGCUUACAGCUUCUCCCAUUCUCUGUCUACGCUACCUACAUAGCAAGAGUACCACCGUCUGGCUUUUCCCAUCAAAGAGAACAGGAAGAGAUUCCACUUACACAGCUACAGAAAACAUUUUUACAUACGAUGCUAAAAGCAUCUUCAUAGGUGGCCAAGUCCAUCGCCUGUACCGGGGGUCAUUACAAAAUGGACCACAGUACAGGCGGGGUAGUGUGAGCCACCUAUGGAAAUUGGGUUUUCACAGGCAGCUCACCUAGUCAGCCGCCUAUGUAAAUGUAUUUUUACACAAGCGGCUGACAAGGUGAGCCGCCUGUGAAAACCCAAUUUUCAGAGGCGGUUCACACUACACCGCCUAUGUAAAUAAUUUUUUAUAUAUAUUUCAAAUUUUAAUUUUUCCCACCACACAUAGUGCUAAACAUCAUAUAUAUAUACACAUCAUACAUACACCACAUAUAUAUAUUAUAGAAUUGUAAACAUGAAAUCAAACAUGAACCAUAAAAUUACAUAUAUAUAUAUACACGUCAAUGCAUGUUAUCCGCACAACCAUACAGUGUUUACAUGUCAUUUCGCUUCAGAUUUAGACCUGCUAUGUUUGUCAGCACUCUAAAUUUAUCACUUGCUAAAUCUUCCUCAUGAUCAAAAUAUGCACAGUCACUUAGAAUUAUUUCUCUCAUAAUAAAACCGCACAAGUCUGCUACUAUAUCUUCUAGAGUCUUUGGUGUAAAGGGCACAUCCUUUCCGUGCUUUUUCGGCUGGAAACAAAGUUUAAAAGCAUGAUUGAGACAUGUUCAAUGUAUACUUUUGCAACUUUAAUAUGAAAACUUCAUAGAUAGAUAUUAUUUACCAUAUUUUUGUCCCUUACGUAAUAUCCCCGCUGCCUUAUAAACUCACAGACAUAGUACCCACAAUAGACUGAUCCAGGUGGUUGCUUGUGGCACUAUAUUAUGAGCAACAGAUUAUACUAAACUUGCCAUGCCUUAUGUAUUAUUUAUAUGAUGAAAUGUGUUCGGACAACUUACCGGAUAGUGAUGUUGUAUCGUCAAUGGCAGCCUAGGAUCUGAGUGUGCGGCAUCGACCGGUCCUUUUUGUUUCUUAUAAAACUGCCAUGCCCUAUAGAUAUCGAAUAUAAAUCACUAAAGUUAUUUUGAAACUCUAAUUCAUAUAAGUACACAUGUGGUUUCAUAUUGGCUCACCUUUCUAAUUGAACCAAGAAUGGUUAAUACUUCUUGGGAGGAACAUUUAAAGAGUCUAGGACAAGCACCUUCCCUUUGAAGGGAUAGUUAUAAAAAACAAUCCAAUGGUCACUGCAUGAAUAAAUGAGUGAGCGACACAUGUAUAUUGUUUACACAAUAAUUUGAAGUACGUAUAUGAAGUCAAGCUUACCUAAAGUUGUAAGGUGCCAAUAUAAAAUCCCUGUACUUAUACCUCAGCAUUGAUCUACCAAGAUAGAGGGCAUAUUUUUUGUUGAUGCAAAAGUAGAUCUACAAACACAAAGGGCUAAUACCCAAUUCAAACGUUGAGGCAUGCCUGCCGAUUUGACCUUACAAUCGACAAAUGUGGUAACUCAAAUACUUUGGUGCCGACAACAGCGAUGCGCCCGGAUGCCACGGCCAAGAGGUAUUCAUGUGGAACUCGAGAACUCGUCGAGUAUGACUCGAUGAAUUCUUAAGAACUCGUAUGUAAAAGAAAAUAUGUAAGUUGAUGAAGUCGUCGAAAAUGUAGACGCAAAAGUAGACGUAAAACUUGUGUAUAGUAUUGAUUGAUUUUUCUCUUACAUUGCCGCUAGGCCCAUAUUUAUACUCUACUCUAAAGAGUUACAAUCGUAUACGACUAGGAUGUAAUUCUAAACCAAAUAGGAAUCGUACAUAAAACAAACUCUAACAACUAUGGAAAGUAACAACCUAUCUAUCUUUGCCAAUCAGCACACCACCAUUGCCUUCUUAGCAACUCCCAUGUCUCCCUUUGUUGUCAUCGGCAUAUUCCCUGCAUCCUUUCAUAAUCAUCGGCACACUCCUCUUCAUUAGCGUCGGCAAUCAUCAAUACCAGCAAUCAGCAUUACUCAGCAACCAUCACCAGACUCAGCAACAUCUUCUUCCUAUUGUUAUAUCAUCGGCAAUGUUGACCAUCGGUAAUCCUUCUAUCGGCCAUACACAUCACUUCUUUGACUACCGAUACUGACUACCCUGAUCCAAAAAUAGUGUCAACACAUGCCCCCCAAUUUCAGAGUAUGGAGUCAUUAAUGCUCCAAAAUUCUCUCCUGAUAAUGAUAACCUUUUCACAAUUAUUUCCUUCCGAUGACAAUUAAUUACCAAAUGCAAACAACUUUAUUUAUGAUCUCCAUCAUAUACCUCGAAUCUCUCAACCAUCCGAACCAAAUCUCCUAAACAUACGCUCAUCGGAAACUGUUCUGUUAGUGCUGGCUGCCGAUGAAUCGACCAAAAGAUCUUGCAAAGUGGGAUAUCUCCUAAAAUCAUGAUUACUCGCUGUCAAAUCACCUGCACAAUCCCUUGAUUACCGUGCGAAUAGUUACCAUAUCCAUCUGAACAACCUUGAAUUUCAUAGAUAUGGCAAAGAGAUAAUUAAAAAUACCCCUGCUCAUUUCAACCUAUAAAUAGAUCCUUCCUUAGUACUCAUUCUCUACAUUACCAUCCUCCAUCCCCAAACUUAUCUCUCUAGCGGCGGCAUUGACGAAGAACCCCGGUAGAACCUUCCCAAAAAUCUUCAAGCCUUCGACUUCCUCUGUCUCAGGAAGAAAUGGCCAUCAACUUCAUCGUCCCUGAGGUUAUUCUAUUCUCAUCUUCUUCUUCCUUUACUGCAACCCUUUACUUUUCGCAAGUCUACUUACUUAGCAUUUUUCUUUUCUUUUCUUUCUGUUUUACCAAUCUUCAAACUUUAGGAGUUGAGCGAGAAAAUCGUUAUUCCUACUGAACAACCCCACCUCCAAUGUCUCGGUCCAAUGGGUGAUCCAGAUCCCACCGAUCUGAUCAAUGCAAAAACCAAUAGGAUUCCUUUUAGGGCCGAGAAUUUUCUUUAGAUAUGGAAGGAUACUUUCCGAUCCUAGCCAAACCCCACCAAAGGAUGGAAAGACUAGUUUCUAAGAAUCAGUAAAACCAAUGAAUUAUGCUAGGGUGAAUGCAAAAUAGACCAGUGCAUCAGACUUUCCAUUGCCGAUAUGGAAAGAAAUAAAUCAAUGUUGAUAGCUACCUCAUACUUCUGGUCAGAUACUUUUAAUGCUUUUAUUUUCGGCCACGGCCCAGCUUCCCCUACGCUUGCCGAUGUGGUUGUGCUGACUGGUUUGGAUGUUGCCACUAUAGAUGAUCGUCAGUUAUUCGGACGCAAAGCCGAAUAUAAAGUAGAAACCCGCAACAUCGGUGGUUGGUCAGGAUAUAUUCAGAAAUAUCAACGAACGGGAUCAGUUAGUCAGAGAGAGCAUGCCACUUUUCUGAAUAUGUGGCUAGACAAAUUCAUCUUCUGCGGCCGAUCGGUAGCACCAACUUCUGUUUACUUAUCGGCAGCAGAAAGGUUAGCCGAUGGUAACCGAUUCACCCUGAGCCAAUAUCUGCUGGGUUCUGGCUAUCACCUCCUCCAUCAAGUAGCCGAGAAACUCCUGCUAGGUGAACCCAUCAGCAAUCUAGGAGGCCCCUAGUGGUUUAUCAACAUGUGGCUCAACGUUCAUAUGCACAAACAGUUUCGAUUUGACUUCUUCGCACAACAGUUCCCACGAGACAUCACCAAAGAUUAUGAACUGGCAGAUGAUGAAUCAGCAAUGCGCUCACCCCUCAAUUAUGGUGAAGCUGUUAUAGUCCUUCCUGGUACUGGCUCCAACGAGAACCAGAUCGGCCGAUUCUUUCAGACAUUGUAUGAUGGCCUAUCCAAAGAUCAGCGAGCAUGGAUGCCCUACGAAGAGCAAGAGUCUAGAUUUCCGCUCACUUUCCACCCCUUUGAUGAUGCUCUUAAUAAAGACAAUGACCUGAUGAUGGCAAUCAUCACCCCAAGAGCAAUCCCAGUAAACAGUUUUGGCAGCGGGAAGAACAUCAACACCACCUACGAGUUUUACAACCCAUCGGCACUAGCUCGCCAAAUGGCUUUCAGUCAGCUACCGAUCAGACUUUGUUAUGCCAAUGUUGUAAAACUGAGAGAGAUAAUAACCAGCGGACUUGAGUGGAUCAGAGUAGCCCAACUCUAGCCAGACGCCGAUACGACAGAUAUUGAUCUAUCGGCUUGGGUUCCAGCUCUCUUCAUCACUCAGUCAUACAAACAGUGGUGGGAAGAAUAGAAGGAGCAUCUGUUCUGGGUAUCGGCUCACAUGCAGCGCAACAUGAUUGACUUCAACUAUUAAGUUCCCAAUGAUGUUGUAAGUCCCUUGCCGAUACUUUAGUCCUUUUAUUAACUUUAACUUUAUCAGCAACUCACCCUUUUUCAUUUCAACAGGUUGAUGACCCAGCGCCAAUAGUAAGCAGAAGUGGGAGGCCGAUCGAACUUCUCCCAUCAGGCCCAAUCUCUCUGAUCGGCCACAACACCCCCAGCUUAGCAGCUCUGAUGCAUCGAAAUAUCAGCUUCAAAAAGACGACCACCAAACAGUCGAAAGUUUCUCCAUCGGUAGCUGCUACCACUUUGGCACAAGCUUUUAAGGUAAACUCUUAAUUCUCUCUAUUUAUACUGAUUUCAUCCCAUACUUACACUAUCUUUUUAGGGUACAUCGGCUGCAACAGGAACGUCAUCGGUAACUCUAUUUUGCACCAAAUUUUUAUAUAUAUAUUUUUUAGCAAAACUCCACCAAUACCUUUUCUUAUAUCUAACUCAUGAAAUUUUGGUUUCUUGUAACAGCAGACUGGUGCAUCGGCAAAGACCAAGAGUAUUCGAACAUCGGGUGCCGAUGCCCCCCAGCCCAGUCAAGCCCCACCUAAGAGAAAUAGUCCAAAGAGCACCAAGUCCCAGCCAAAGCGAUAGAAGACAACACCAUCCUCUCCACCUCACCCAGCAUCCCUGAUCCAAGUAGCACCCUCUCCUCCUCAAUCAGAGCCCCAGACGCAAGAAGUACCUCCUCCUGCACAAGCAGGCCCAGCCGAUGUGUGUGGCCAGACCACUGACCUAGUCGAUCUGGGCACAUUAUCGGUUGUUCCCCUUGAGUAGACAAUCGCCAUUCCCCGUCAAGGUAAAGUUCUGAUUACAAAAUCAUUACCGAUGAUUUCUUCUAUAAAUACCAUCAUCACCCUUGGCAAUUUUCAGUUGAUGAUAUUCCAUCAGUAGCUCUAGCCGAUCAAACUAUAGUACCAGCUGCAUCUCCAUGCCAGAGACAAGAAAUCUCAUUGAAGCAAGUAAGUCACCCAAUUCCCCAGAUUUGGCACCGUCAAUACUUAAUUUUUGGGUAACUUAUCUUUUCCCCUUUUAGGAGCAAGACUCUCCCGAUAGCCUAUUCUCUUUCGCUAUCGAUAUCUCUAAUGACUAAGGCGACGAAGCAAGCUCCUCAAAGGCACUUGGAAUCACAUCGACAGACAUUAAGACUAAGCUAGAAGAUCUACUAGCUAUGUUGCAUCAAGACCCAGCCUAGCUAUUGGAUGACUCUAAUCCAGCCAAGACUAUAUUCAAAACUCUCUGUGGUCAGAUUCGAGCCGAUGCUGAGGAGAUUCUUUUUCAAGCUGCCCACCUAGAAAGUCGCCAACUCCAGUAUCAGAAAGCCACUCAAUGCCUUGCCGAUAGAGCUACUCACGCGUAGCUCAAAAAGGAAAUGCUACAAGUGAAGCAUGUUGCCGAUGAGAAGCACAAGAGUUUCUAAUCCUCAGGCACCGAGUUGAAACAUAAAAUUUCUAAUCUAUCGGACAAAAGGGAGGCUUUGUUGGCCGAACUCAAGCAGGUGGAGGAAGCUCUGCCCAAGCCCAAGAGGAGGAAUGCCAACUACCUGAUGCACUCAAGAAACUUCAGCAAGAAAGAGAUGUCCAAGCUCGCAAAGCGCUGCACAUGAAGAAGAAGCUGAAGCCGGUGGAAGGUUCUGCCGAUGAAGACAACCGCAAGAUAGAGGAGGCCAACCAAAUUCGUCUGCGCGCAAUUAAUAUCGGCCAUCCAAACCUUGUUGAACCUGUGAACUUUUCAUCGGCAGCUUGUUUAAUUUCUUUCCCAAAACUUUGAUCAUUUGGUCCAGCCGAUAGGACUGUUAUCGGCAUUUAAACUCUUUAUGCAUGGCCCCAAAUACACUUGACAUUUUUUCAGCUGACAGGAUUGUUAUCGGCACUUAAACUUUUAUGUGUUAACCUAGACACUAGGGUAAUAUCUCUUUAAAUACUUUCCAUUCAAUGCUAUGGGAAAUUCAACUCCUUCGAGAGUCUCUAAAAUAUAAGCAUUGCCAGGGCAGAUCAAUUUAUCCGAUAAGGACCCUCCCAAUUGGGAGACCAUUUUCCAAAUUUUGAGCUUUUAGUCCCAAUCAGUAGAAUCAGUUCCCACACUAAAUCCCCAUCGGCAAAUUCCUUGGCUUUUACCUUUUUAUCAUACCAUUUAGCCACUCUCUUUUUAUUCUCCUCUAUGCUGAUUAAAGCUCUUAACCAAUGCCCUGCUAAAUCAUCCAACUCAUCUUUCAUCAAAGUAGUGUAAUCAUCGGCAGUUAACUAAUCCUGAGAAAACAUUCGCCUAGAACCAGUUUUAAUUUCCCAAGGCAGUUCUGCAUCAUGUCCAUAUACCAGUUGAUAAGGUGAUACUUUGGUCGAGCCAUAACCCGCCAUCCGAUACGACCACAAGGCUUCAUUCGUUUGUUAGAAGCCUCAACCUGCCCAUUAGCUUGAGCAUAAUAAGGAGAAGAAUUCAACACUUUAAUCCCCAUACCGAUUGCAAACUCAUCAAACUCUCCCGAUGUAAACAAAGUACCUUGAUUGGUAGUAAUUGUUUGGGGAAUGCCAAAUCGGUAAACAAUAUGUUCCACAAAAUCAAUCAUGUUGGCCGAUGUUACUUUCUUCAAAGGAAUAGCCUCAACCCAUUUGGUGAAAUAGUCAGUGGCAACAAGGAUGAACUUAUGACGUUUACUCGAUGGUGGAUAAAUUGGAUUGAUGAGAUCAAUAGCCCAAUCCCAAAACGGCCAAGGUUUAAUAAUAGAAUUCAAAUCUGAUGCUGGUGCCCUUUGAAUGUUGCCAAACUUCUGACAUCCUUGACAUCCUUUGAAAUACUUGAAACAAUCCUCAAGUACAGUUGGCUAGUAAUAUCUGUUCCUUCUAAUCAUCCACUUCAUCUUAAAAGCUAAUUGAUGCGCUCCACAUACUCCUUCAUGAAUUUCACCCAUCAAGCUUUUGGAUUCAUCCUCACCUAAACAUUUAAGCAAAACUCCAUCUAUUGUUCGAUAAUACAAUUCUUAUUCAAGGAGUACAUACUUUGUAGCUCGAAACCUAACACGCCUUUCAACUUUUUCUGGAUGGAUCUUUUAAAUAAUCAAUAAUUUCUUUUCUCCAAUCAUCGGCACUGAUUGCCGAUAAUAUUUCCAAGAUGGGUUGAUAUCUAGAGGCAUGUUGAGCCAAUCGGUUAGCUUCUUCAUUAUGUAACCGAGGAAUAUGCUCUAAUCAGAAAUCCCUGAACCCUUUCAAUAAUUGAACACAUUUUUUAUAAUAUUCUAUCAAAACUUCACUUCGGCAUUCAUAAAUCCCAGCCAACUGAUUUAUAACAAGCAUAGACUCACCAAAAAUUUCGACAGCGUCAGCAUGAACCUACUUCAAUAAUUCUAAUCCUUUGAUUAGGGCUUGGUACUCAGCUUGAUUUUUUGUCAACAUAGCAAAAAUCGGUAAAGAAAACUCAUAUUUCUUCCCUUGAGGAGAAAUCAACACUAUACCGAUACCUGCCCCUUGAUCACAUGUAGAUCCAUUAAAGAAGAGCGUCCAAGGAACAAUUUCCAUAGCAUCCACUACACCACAAUGCUGAGUUACAAAAUCGGCCAUGAUUUGUCCUUUGACUGCCUUAGCCGAUUCAUAACGUAAAUCAAAUUCCGAUAAUGCUAAUAUCCAUUUGCCGAUUCUACCACUCAUAAUCGGCAUUGAAAACAUGUAUCGGACCACGUCAUCUUUGCAUAUAACAGUGCAUUCAGCCAAUAGCAAAUAAUGUCUCAAUUUGACACAAGAAAAAUACAAGCAUAAGCACAAUUUCUCAAUUGACAAAUACCUUGUCUCAACAUCCACCAAUCUUCUACUUAGAUAGUAAAUUACGCGCUCCGUCCCUUCAAAUUCUUGAAUGAGAGCUGAACCGAUGACCGUAUCAUCGGUAGACAAAUAUAACCUGAAGGGCUUUCCAGGCUGAGGUGGAACCAAGACUGGAGGAUUUGCCAAAUAAUUCUUUAUUUCAUCCAAGGCUAACUGUUGCUCUUUUCCCCACACAAACUCUUGAUCAGCUUUUAAUUUAAGCAAGGGGCUGAAAGCACGAAUCUUACCCAAUAAAUUGGAUAUAAAUCAUCUGAUAAAAUUAAUCUUGCCGAUCAAUGAUUGAAGUUCAGUUUUAUUGGUGGGAGCAACUACUUUGCCGAUUGCAUCAAUGGAUCUCCUGCUGUUUUCAAUCCCUCUUUGAUGCACCAUGAAACCUAGAAACAGACUUGCCGAUACGCCAAAUGCACAUUUAUUGGGGUUCAUUUUCAAACCAUGUUUCUUUGUGCAUUCCAACACUUUUCGCAAAUCGGCUUGAUGUUUUGUGAAAUUCCCUGACUUAACUACCACAUCAUCAAUGUAGAUUUCCGCCAACUUGCCGAUGAACUCAUGGAAAAUAAAAUUCAUGGCCCUCUGAUAGGUAGCACCAGCAUUUUUCAAGCCAAAAGUCAUGACUAUCCAUUCAAACAACCCAACAUGACCAGGACACCUAAAUGUAGUCUUGGGAAUAUCCUCCUCGACCAUGAAUAUUUGAUUGUACCCUGCAUUGCCAUCCAUAAAACUAAUAAUCCGAUGUCCAGACGUAGCAUCAACUACCAAAUCGGCAACUGGCAUUGGAUAACCAUCCAUCGGCGUGGCUUUAUUGAGAUUCCCAAAGCCAAUGCAGACACGAAGCUUUCCAUUCUUUUUAUAGACAGGGACAACAUUGGAAGUCCAUUCGGCAUACCAACAUUGCCGAAUAUACUUGCUUCAAUAAGUUUGGUUAUUUCGGCCUUAAUAUUAGGAAGAAUAUUAGGGUUACAUCGAUAUGUUGGCUGCUGAUGUGGCAAAAAUCUAGAUUUAAUAGGCAACCGAUGUUCAACAAUUGAUCGGUAUAAACCAGACAUCUCGGUAUAAUCCCAAGCAAAGCAAUCUCUAUAUUUCUUUAACAAAUCGGUUAAUUGCUGCUUACAUUCAGAAUCUAACUUAGCACUAAUAAAGGUAGGCCUUGGCUUAUCGCCAUUAACUAUAUCUACUUCUACUAAAUCAUGUGCCGAUGUAAACCCCUAUCCUAGCUUUCCAUCAUCAGCGAACCUAUCCAUUAAAACUCUUUAUCAGAACCGACUACUUGGAUCGGUGGAAUUUCAUAACCGACAACCUUGAGAAAAUCUUUCUCCCAAACCUCUCCUAAUAUGCAUCUGGUCCGCUCAUAGGUAUCUGACUCCGCUGAUGCAAUGACAUAUGAAGAAUCUCCCGAGAAAAUCUCAAUUUUGUCACCUACCCAAUGAACAAGGCAUUGAUGCAUGUAGAAGGAAUGCAACAAUUGGCAUGAAUCCAAUCUCUCCCUAGAAGUAAAUUAUAUGCACCUUUUCCACUGAUAACAAAGAAGGUCAUCAGCAAGGUUUUACUACUGAUGGUUAAUUCAACGCAUAUAGCUCCCUUAACUGGAGACACAUUCCCUUCAAAAUCAUUCAACAUCAUGUCGGUCUUGGUCAAAUCCUUAUCUCCUUUGCCAAGCUUCCGAUAUACUACAUACGGCAUAAUGUUAAUCUCAACCCCCCAUCAAUGAUUAUUUUGGACUUCGGCUGCCCAUCGACCCUGCCAUUGAUAAACAGAGCUUUAAGAUGCUAUCUUUCAUUAGCAGAAGGCUUCUUGAACAUAGCUGACAUUGGAUCAAGUGCCAACUGAGCUAUCUGGUUAGGGAGAUUUAUUUCCUCAUCAUCGCUAAAGGGUGCAAUAAAUUCCAUUAGCAACAUAAACACCAUGUUAACAUCUGCCGAUGGUCCUUUCCCCUUGUGGUCCGAUUGCUGCCGAUUUUUAGACUUAGAAGAAUUUUCCUCCCUAUUCAGCUCUUCUUGACGUUAUCGCUGCAUCCUUCUCUUCUGGGUCCUUGUUAACCCUUCUUGGCACCAUUAGAGAAGCUGUGUCCUUCGCAAUGGUUGAUAGCGAGCCUCCCUUGACUCCAUCCGAUGAGUAUUAGCAUCUCUACAGAAUAUAAAUUCAUCGGGAACCCAUGUUUUUGCCAUUUCUUCAAGUUCCUCUUGGUUUCUUGGAAAAUGACCAACACAUUCACCAAGUCUAUCAUGCACACUGAGCCUGCCCCCCAGCCGAUCAUGGACUUACAUUCUCCCUCUGAUCGGUCCAGUGAAACGCUGAUCAUUGUUUUGGAACCAUUGAUCUGGCUGAUCAUACCGAUGGUAGCCAUUGCACUCAGGACAAUCUCGUACAGUCGGCAACUUGAUGUUUUGUUCCCAGCAAUGAAUAAAGAACGGGCAAUUCCAAUGAGCUCUAUGUGGAUUCCACUCUUGCCGGCACCUUUCUUCUUCUUGGCGUCGAUCCUCUUGCUGUCGGCGAUACCGAUCUUCACGCUGUUGCCACGUUUCCCGAUGUCGUCUAUGAGUAAUUACGAUACUAGAUCGAGGAGGCUUCCCAGCGUCAUCGGUGGUUACUUGAUGCUGGGGAUCUACCGAUGCACUUCUCUCAGCCGCUUCUAAUGUUAAGACUUUGGUUUUACCUUUGGCAUCUAACAUGUUUGCAGGGAAAGAAUGCUGAUCAAUUUUCAUCACCUUCUGAGCUUUGGAAUUGUCAAACUUAAUCCUCCCAGAUUCUAUAGCCGAUUGCAACUGCUGCUUGAACACUUUGCACCCAUUUCAACUGUUGUGACGUUGCAUUAUGCCACUUGCAAUACUUGAUCUUCUUUAACUCCUCUGCCGAUGGGAUCACAUGAUUGGGUGACAAUUUAAUCUGUCCUUCUUGAAGCAAUAAAUCAAAUAUCCUAUCGGCCUUUGCGAUAUCGAAAGCAAAUUUCUCGGGUUCUUUUUGGCCAAAAGGACAGGACAUCGGCUUUUUGUUUUUCACCCACUCUGCCAAACCGACUACUGGUUCUUCAUCAGAAUCUGAACUCAUUACCUCAUCCACAAAUGAGACUUUCUUAUUCCAAGCUUUCCUAGGUUCAAAAGCCUUGAUAUCUUGAUCAGAAAUUAUCUGCACCAAAUGACUCAGACUUUCAAACUCUUGAGAAGCAUAUUUGUCUUUGAUGUGUGGCAACAAUCCCUAGAAAGCCAAAUUGGCUAACUGCCGAUCAUCUACAACCAGACUGUAACAUUUGUUCUUUACAUCCUACAACCUCUGCACAAAGCAUUCAACCAAUUCUUCAUUAUGUUGCCUCAGUCUAACUAAAUCGGUAAUCUUCUUCUCAUGAAACCCAGAGAAGAAAUAUUUGUGAAACUGCUUUUCUAGAUCGGCCCAAGUAAUAACUGAAUUUGGAGGUAACGAAAUAAACUAGGUAAAUGCCGAUCUUGACAAAGAUGAUGAAAACAAACGAACUCUUAAUUCAUCUCUGUUAGCAGCCUCUCCAGACUGGAUGAUGAAACGAUUAACAUGCUCCAUAGUUGAUGUGUCAUCUUGCCCAGAUAAUUUAGUAAAAUCUGGCACCUUUUACUGAUUUGGAAGCAGAAUCAAAUCGUAUGGAGGAGGAUACAGUGUCCAAUAAGAAUAAGUAUUGACCUUUGGUUUUAUUCCAAACUAAUCUCUCAUAACUUCUGCUAUCUUAUCUGUCCAAUAGGCAUCGGCAUCCUGCCGAUGUGCAGGUUGAAGUUCUGGUACCUGCUAAUAAGGUUCCACAUGUCUCUGGGGUACACGAUCUCCAGGAAACAUAACAUUGGCCAUAGCUUGCUGACCACCAAUUUGCUGAGCUAGAUUCUUUAGCUGAUUGGCAGGUCCUUGAUUCUAAAAACCAACCUGCAUCUGUCCUUGCUAGAAUCUCACAGCUUGAUGAUUCUGUUGUGUCACAUGUGGAAAGACAAACUGCCCUGUCCAUCCAUUGUUAGCAUUCAUCGGCGCAGGCCCUGCUGAUGGCUGAUAAUUGACUGUCAUUGCUGGGUUGACAUACCCUGUCUAAGUCAUAAAUCUCUGUUGCAUCGGCAAUGGAUCUGCCGAUGAAUUUGCGUUAGGCAUCUGGAAUGUAGGCAUUGGAAAAUUCCCCAUAUCAGGCCUUGUAGUAGUAGUUGUAGAGUACUGGGGAAUCUGAGUCAUCGGCGAAACUGGAGGUGCCGAUGUCUUAGGAGCUUUUCCUACUAAGUCAGCCACCUAAGCUAUUCUAGAACUAUUUGCAAAAAAAUCCGGAGGCAUACCAUAUCCCCACCAAUUGGGAGGAACUUGACAAUUCAGAUCCGGGCAUUGCCGAUGCCGAUAGAUCCGUAUUGAGUUGAACCCGUCCCUCUGAUGCUGCUGGAUUAGUUUUCAUCAGUGUAGACUGCCCAUUAGUCAUCCCUAAUGUGCUUGGAGGAGAAGUAACUUCUAUACCCGCAACGGCCGGAGGAGCCGAUGGAGCCGUGACCGAUGACAACCCAGGCUGGUGAUAGGCUGGGCCAACAUAUAAUGGUGGUGUCUGUCCUUCUUUAAAAGUUCGAGCCAUGGCAUUGUAGACAGUAUUAUACAACACACUAGAUUGAUUUAUCAAAGCACGAUUAAUAGCAUUGUCAACCAUGUCUUGCAAUUUACGAGGAUUGGCUUCAAAAGUAAUCUGCCGAGGCAUCAGCAGUUCUUGCUUCUAGAAUACUUCACCGCUCCUGUUGACGCUGAAGGAUCUCAAAGCAAAGUUGCUUGUACUCCUCCAUAGCCCUCGCCAUAGCCUACUUCUCCUCGUCCCUGAGAUCAGCUUUUGUGACAGCAAUGACGUUCUCCGUAUCGAGCUCAGUAGUAGCCAUGUUGAUCUUGUUGGUAGAUUUGUCCCACCGGGUGUGCCAAAAGAUGUGUUGAUGCAAAAGUAGAUCUGCAAACACAAAGGGCUAAUACCCGAUUCAAAUGUUGAGGCAUGCCAGCUGAUUUGACCUUACAAUCGAUAAAGGUGAUAACUCGAAUACUUUGGUCCCGACAACAGCGAUGUGCCCGGAUGCCACGGCCAAAAGGUAUUCACACGGAACUCGAGAACUCAUCGAGUAUGACUUGAUGAAUACUUAACAACUCGUAAGUAAAAGAAAAUAUGUAAGUUGACGAAGUCAUCGAAAAAGUAGACACAAAAGUAGACGUAAAACUUGUGUAUAGUAUUGAUUGAUUGUUCUCUUACAUUGCUGCUAGGCCCAUAUUUAUACUCUUCUCUAAAGAGUUACAAUCGUAUAUGACUAGGAUCUAAUUCUAAACCAAAUAGGAAUCAUACAUAAAACAAACUCUAACAACUAUGGAAAACAACAACCUAUUUGUCUUUGCGAAUCGGCACACCACCAUUGCCUUCUUAGCAACUCCCAUGUCUCCCUUUGUUGUCAUCGGCAUAUUCCCUGCAUCCUUUCAUAAUCAUCAGCACACUCCUCUUCAUCAGCGUCGGCAAUCAUCAAUACCAGCAAUUGGCAUUACUCAACAACCAUCACCAGACUCAGCAACAUCUUCUUCCUGUUGUCCUAUCACCGGCAAUGCUGACCAUCGGCAAUUAUUCUAUCGGCCACGCACAUCACUUCUUUGACUACCGAUACUGACUACCCUGAUUCGUGUCCAAAAACGGUGUCAAUAAUUGUCCUCUAUUUUCUUUGCAACUCUUUUAUAGCUUCUGCAACUUCUUCUGGUGUUUUGUCCUUCUCUAUCUUUGCUAUAUCUUGCUUUGAUAAUACAAAUUUGUGUAUAUUUUCUUGCAACUUGAUAGGGCUCAGAUAACCGACCAUCGAUCCGGCAGAUAGUAAUGACCUCUACUCGUGAUCUUGCAAACUACAGACAACAUCUACAUAUUAGAGUUUCACACUACAUAUUAAUAAUAAUUGUGUGUGCAUGAGUGAUACUUAGAGGCACUAGAUUGUUAUGAGUUGGACGUCAAGCCACCUAUAGUUCGACAACAAGUGCAUGUCCUCGAAGGUAACAAAUGCCUUGCUUUUUUCGUUACCAGUAGCAAACACGUCUACUGGUAUAUCAACUCUGAUUGCAUGGAGGUCAGCAUGCACUGCUCUCAUGUACCAGUCAUGAAACCUUUUUAUCGUCCAUUGAAUCUUACCAAGCAGCGUCCAUUGGAGCGUAGGACUUCCGAGCACAUAGUCACUGGGGACAUUGACUUAAUCAUCAAUCGUUGGCUUUCUAAUAUCAUUUAGGGUCAAUGGUUGACUUGAUGGCUGUUCGACAUGUACAUCGCCACUUGGGGCUUCCUUUGAUGGGGGCAUGGCUUCUGUUGACUAGGCGGCAGCUUCCUUUUUCUGUGAUGGUUUGAGCUCAGUGAGUCGUGUCGUCCGCUGCUUUCCAAGUCCUUUCAGAAAGAGAGCUAUGCCUGCUGCUUUCCCCUUUUUUGGCUCAUAGGGAGAAAUCAAUUUUGGAAUUGGAAAUUUAUUCACCUUCUUAGAGGCCGGUGCUAAUGGGGGAGUUUGCUCAUCUUCCUUCUACUUUGGAGGUGGUGGGGGAGUUUGCUCAUCCUCCUUCUCCUUUGGAGGUGGUGGGGGAGUUUGCUUAUUCUCCUUCUCACGUGUUGUGUUCUCCUUGGAUGGCAGAGUCUGCUGCUUAGGGAUGUUCUCCUUGGCUGGCCCCUCAGGCUCAUUCUGCAAGAAUGCCAUCUCAUGUAUUGGGGAGGAUGGUGGUGGCUCGUAAAUGUAUGGGGAUGCUGGAGCAUGCAUUGGCAAUGGUGGCUAUUGAUAUGUUUCGGCCUCUUGAGAUGGUUGAGGCACUAUGCUUGGAGAGGGUGGCGCUGGUGGGCCAACCCCUUAUGUUGGAGCAGAAACCAGAAGCAACUUUUAAAUUCUUCAACCACACACACGUUGCAUGUUUCUCCUCUCUGUUCAGGUUGUAGCUUGCUGCCGGUAGCUGGUACUUCCCAUUCUCUAGGAGUAUAGGGUGAAGUUCUUUUUUGAUCUUCAAAUGUUGCAUGCCGAAACGUGAAUUGAGACCUUCCUUUGUCUUGCUCUUUAUGUCUAGGAAGGUUCCAAUUACGCUUUUAAACACACUGUUCUGAACAUGCAUACCAUCGACCGCAUGUCGUACGUCCAAGUUUUUCCAGUAGAAUAAGUACUUGAAGAAAAUGGACUUCUUCUUGAAUGUGUCCCCUUAAUUUGCCUUCACAACCUUUCUUCGUUUCCCAUGUUUGGUCUUCUUUCCAAAAAUAAACUUCACAUUCUCAACUAUCUUGUACACUCUAUGCCCUUUACUACAACCUGAUGGAGCAGUAGAUUUUGAUUCAUUAAUAUUGUUGAAGUACUUAUUCAUCUUUUGUAAGUUGUACUUAUGGCCUGCCGGUAGCCAUCUUCUAUGCCUCAUGUACACUAUCUUGUUGGAUGCAGGAAGAGACACGUGCCAUGUUCCAUCCAUGCACUCUACACAACCAACCUUUCCCUUGAACUGACCUGAUAAUGAGAAGAGAGCAGGGUAAUCAUUAAUUGUGACAAUAAUAAUUGCUCUCAGUGUGAAUGUCUCUUUGCGGAACACAUCGAUCAUGUCCACACCUACUUCCCAUAGUGUUUGCAUGUCUUGCAUUAAGGGCUCUGGAAAUACAUCCAUAUCAACUCCAGGUUGUGUAGGUAUAUAAAUAAGAAUGGUUAGCGAAAGAUAUUUUCUCCUUUGACAUAACCAUGAAGGAAGGUUGUAUAUUGUCAGGAAUUCAGGAUCAUCGGCCAUGUGUUGUGCGUGCUACUCCUUUCACCAAAUGGAUUCACUCCAUCAGUACUCAGUGCAAACCUUACACUCCUUGGAUCGUCAGCAAAGUCUGGAUAUUUCUUAUCGAAAUCUUUCCAUUGCUUUGCAUCAGCUGGAUGUCGUAACUUUCCUUUCAUCUGAAGCAUGCCGGGUCAUAAGUUCAGCGUCUUCAGGGUUUGCAAACAAACACCUCAAACGAUCAACCACGGGGAGAUACCAUAUCACCAAAGCAGGAAUUCUUCUCAAUGCAUAAUAGUCCACUUCUUCAUUGCUACUAGGCUUUGAGCAUUUGUCUUGUUGAGUCUUUGUUUGGGUCUUCUUUCGCUUCCUCCCUGUAGAAAUAGAGGCUAGAUUCUCUUCCUCCCGAUAAUCAUUGUUCGUCUUGUACCUACUGUCACCAUAGUUUGGACAGUUGUCUAAGUCUUUAUACUGAUCACCCUGAUAUAGAAUACAAUGAUUUCUACAUGCGUGGAUCUUCUCAACACCUAUUGUAAGUGGACUAACUAGCUUCUUUUCAUAGUACAUGUUAGCAGGCACUUUGUUCUCCUUAGGAAGAAGGUCUCCAAGUACACACAAGAAAUCAUUGAAGCUAGCAUCGGACCAACCAUGUCUAGCCUUCAUCGUUAAAAACAGAAGAACAACAUGUAAUGUCGACCACUGUUUGGUACAACCUUUCGACUCGUCAUACAAAGUGUCCUCUGCUUCCUUCGUCAAUGCUUCCAUUCCCUUCAUGAAGAAUAUUAAUGGAUCUACACAACGGUUCAUUAUUGCCUCUAAGAAAUCUGCAUCUUCAACAGCAUGUGUGUUAGCAUGCUGAGUUUCAUUGACAUCAGACGUAUGAGUUUGAUUGACAUCUGGCACAGCAUGAUGAGUUUCAUUGACAUAUGGCAUAGCAUGACAUUCAUUGAGAGGUGGCAUUGGACCCUCCACAUUGAUGUUAGUUGCAGUGUUGUCAGUUGUCCACAUAUAAGGUGCAGAACUACCCUCACCAUGUUUUGUCCAAAUCAAGUAGUCCUCCAUAAAUCCUCUGCAAACCAGAUGGGAAGUAAUUGCUUCUACAUUGUCAAAUACCACAAUAUUUUUGCAGUCUGCGCAUGGACAACAUAUGUUCUUCGCCUUUGUUCUGCGAGCAUGUAUCUUUGCGACAUCUAUAAAUUUUUGGACCUCCACUACAUAUGAUGGGUCCAAUCUUGAUAAGUUGUACAUCCAUAAUGACCUCUCCAUAUUUAGCUAUAAUUAGUUAAGAACAAUGUAGGUCAAUCUAAAAACAAAACUAAUACAACCCUUGAAAAUAGUCUUAACUAAGAUGCUAAUCUCCUUCUAUUAAAUGGAGAUGAAACCUACCCCUUACAGAGUUUACAAUUUAUAGAAUUUAAAUAAUUGUUUAAACUCAUUUUCAUAAUUAUAAGAAACAAUUGUAUAAAAUUUAGGAAUAAUUCAAGGAUUUCUAAGAUAAUCUUUACUUUUUAAUCAAACAUGCCUUAAUAUAACCAUAUUUCAUAAAUUUACACCCAAAGAUUUGAAAAAGUAUUUAUUUGCCAUUUUAUGAUUUUCAACAUUUUAAUGUAUGAAUUUAUAAAGUCUAAUUCAUCUAAAAAAAAGCUAAAACUGAAUCAAAAUUAUAAACUUCAAAAUGUCCACAACACUACUCUAUUGCAUAGAUCUACUCACAAGAAUUCUAAAAAGUAUUUAUUUUCUAUUUUUUUAAUUUUAUACAAUUUACUAUGAAUUUACAUAAAAAUUUAGCUAAAACUCUGUCUCUUGCCCUAUGAACCCUAACCCUAAGCAAGAAUGUAUGAUGAACUCUAGAUCUAGAGCACAUGCAAUACAAGAAUUGAACCAAAGAAUCACUAAAAAAAUAGCAUCAAGGGCACUAACUAACCUUUUGGAAGUUUCUCACCAAAGAAAUGAAGAUCAAAACCUCCCCCUUGGAAACUGGAAUCGCCUGGUCCACCAGUGUGCAGAGCUCACAGGAGUAACUGUUCAUGUCUAAAGGUGGAUGAAGGGCAUUUAUACCAAUCUUAACACAGGUGGCUCAUAAAGUGGGGGUUCUCUAUCAAACCGCCUUGAUAAUGGAAACCUCCCCCCUUGAUAAUUUAUGUAAAUAAAUUCUCACAGGCGGUCCUCUAUACAAACCGCCUGUGUAAAAAUGCACAUUUACAUAGGCAGCCUAAUUACGACAUCUGCCUAUGUUAAUGGUAUUGACACAGGUGGUUGGUAUCGUAAUCCGCCUGUGUAAAUGGACAAUUUACACAGGCAGUUGAAAUAAGAAAACCACCAGUGUAAACUUGUUUACAUAGGCGGUUCGCUUGUUGGGCCUGUUGGGUAUUCUUAACAUCACUACCGAAAGUGGACUUAAUUUUCUAAUUCUAGUAACAGUGCCAAAAAUGCCAAACCUAUCCCUCACACCACUUAAGCCAAGUUGUCAUCCCCAGCAUGACAUGAGAGACGCGGUAUUGAAAUAUGCAAUUGCUCUUCUAAAUAAAUAAUGAAUGGGAUCUACAAGCGCACAGAUUAAUACCGAUGUAGCAUUUUAACCGGGAAGUAUUCCAGGUAUCGUUAUUUAUAUUUUUACCACUGUAAAGGGAUUAACAAUCAUCAAUAUUGAUUACAUAAUAGAAUAUGAGAUUAAGUAUCUAUCAUUGCAUAUAUAAUUGAGAACAUUUAUCUAACUCUUUCGUACAGGGAUAAGUGUCACAUAAAAGAUAUAUGAAAUAAUAAAUAGUGACAAAGAUAAUUAAUCUGAUCAUAACUUAGCCACAUAAUAAAUAUGAUAAGUACCUCAAUUAGAUACUCUAGAAAGUCAUUAGCAUGGUAUUAGAACGAACUACAAGAAUAUUUCCUAAGUUAUUCUCAACUAUAUAGUCUAGCAUUAUCAUAGUUAGUGCAAGCAUACUUAGCAAUCAUUGCGAGACAAGACUACGCCCAUGCAUAGUGAUAUUAGCAAGGUAAAUGAGAAACAUAGCAAUCACUCCCCUGUAAUAAUGUUGGUCUGCCAGCCCAAUACACGAGAGGGGGACUAUAUAAGAAUCAAUGAAGCUGUCACUAUCACGAACUACCCCACGAUCUGACAUAUUGGGUACAAUCGCAGAUAAAUACGGUAUAAGCACCACGCAUACACGAUAUCUAUCAUUUACCCAUGAAUCCGAUGGAUAAACGCUAUACGAUCCUAAGCAUGUAUAUAAAUCCAAUCUAACUAAGCCAAGUAUAUAACUAUGAUAAACUAAGAACAAUAUAAUCUUGAAUAUAAACAAGUAGAGCAAAGUCAUAAGCAAUAUAUUGAAGUAGAACAAAGUCAUAUUCAUAAUAUUGAAGAACAAAGAUAAUUAGAAGAACAAUUAGAAGCACAACUAGAGAAUUACCAAGAAUCCUCUUGACAGAUCCGGAAACCAAUCGAAGAUUGAAUCCUUCAAGUUGUAAUCCUAUGUAGCUAUGCUAAUCUAGAUAUCUAAUUGAUGUGGUGGCUCUAAUCUUGAUCAGGGGCUUCUUUUCCCUUGAGGAAUAAUGAAUUAGGGUUGAGAGGCUCCCUCCUCCAGGGGCCAGGGGUUCUGGUUUUAUAGUCCCUUCAAGUGAAUAUGGGCCAUUGGAUCAAACCGACAUUGAUUGAACGGUUAUCCUUGAUCCUUUAGGUCGGUGGAGAUCUCCCGAGAAACAGAGUCCUGAUUGGCCUCCAAGUCAGGGCGGGCGCCCAGGGCAGGAGGGCGGGCGCCCUGCCUCUGGCCCCGUUCGGCCACCGCUUUCUUCCCGUGGCUUCUGGAGUCUUCUAGAUGUAAGAUAAUUGCGCGGUACGUUAAUAUCUCUAUGUAAUCCCAACGUGUGGGCCUUUCUUCCGUAUUUCCUGAUAACCCCCUGCACAAAAAGACAAACACCAAAACUCGUGGAAUUCUGUCAGAUAAAACCCUAAGUCUAGAUGUUGAUUUCAUUUAGAUCCUUUUCUUUGUUUAUUUGAUAAUUAAAUUUGAUACUUAAGGACUGUCAACAAACUCCCCCAAGCUUACCUGUUGCUCGUCCCUGAGCAAGGAUAGAUUAGAAGUUGCUGCAAUACUUUUAAAAAUUGAUGGUACACAUGCUUUUAAAUAAGAUCUCAUCUCUGAGUUAGAGUAAACUGUCAAGACUUAAAACUUAUUCAUUAUACCUUUCACCAUGGGACUUGUAACCGUCACUUCUGUCUUGAGUAGUUAAAAGAUAGAACAGUCUAGUCAAGUGCCAUGUCUCUUAUUCUUGAUCAGCUAUAGCUCUAGAGUUUUUGCAGAUUUUCAAAUAAAACUCAGAGAUUCCUUGUAUGACUCUCUCAGAUCUCUCUUUUGUGGUAUUUCUGGAUCCUUACCAAUGCAUUGAUAGUAUAUGCCUUCUCUCAAAAAGUAUGUAGUAUUUGUGGUAUAAAGCAUAGUGACAUUGUCUUCUCUCUCACCCUACUCUAAUAAGGCUUUAAUAUCUGGAGCUCAUAGGUGGGAGAUAAAGUAUACAUACUUACAAGACAUUUAUUGCAUAGUCAAACCAUGGAUCCAAAGAAAUAAGUCAAUAAGUUUAAUCAAGAUGUGCAUGUGUGGCGAAUGAAUGGUAUAUGGUAAUGAUGGUGAUAACAAUGGUGAAAGUCUAGAUCUACUUUUGCUCUUUUAAGGGGGUACAUACCUUCUUUGCUUUUUGAAACUUUAUGAGGAGAAUGAGAUGCUCUAUAUUUUUCUUUUCUCUCAGGUGGGUAUCUUGUACCCCUAAUUCUACUGUCGGACACUUGUCCAUUUUUACCUCUCGUUUCACUUUUCUUUUCUUUCGAGGUUUCGAGCACUUGCCCCUUUUUAUUUCCUCGUAUCUUUUUUCUCUUUUUUUAGAGCACUCAUCUCUUGAGAUAAUGUAGCAAGUGGUAGUAACAAGAUAACUUAAGUAUUUAUUUCACAGGGAAAAACAGAAAUAUUUUUGGCUAUUCUCUCCCGGAUUAGGAGUAGAAUAUUUUUAGAUGGUUCCGGAGAUGAAAAUGGGUGGAUAUAUGUGGAUGGUACUUCCGGAGUAGAAGUAGCAUAUAUGAGUGAACGUGCA